This 565-nucleotide ribosomal RNA is filed under the name Pseudomonas sp. RNAcentral's name for it is "bacterial SSU rRNA". It matches the Rfam family "Bacterial small subunit ribosomal RNA", at positions 75 to 637 of the family's 1533-position model. Lineage: Bacteria; Pseudomonadati; Pseudomonadota; Gammaproteobacteria; Pseudomonadales; Pseudomonadaceae. The record is from RNAcentral.
UUUGAUCAUGGCUCAGGAGUUCGGCGGACGGGUGAGUAAUGCCUAGGAAUCUGCCUGGUAGUGGGGGAUAACGUUCGGAAACGGACGCUAAUACCGCAUACGUCCUACGGGAGAAAGCAGGGGACCUUCGGGCUUGCGCUAUCAGAUGAGCCUAGGUCGGAUUAGCUAGUUGGUGGGGUAAUGGCUCACCAAGGCGACGAUCCGUAACUGGUCUGAGAGGAUGAUCAGUCACACUGGAACUGAGACACGGUCCAGACUCCUACGGGAGGCAGCAGUGGGGAAUAUUGGACAAUGGGCGAAAGCCUGAUCCAGCCAUGCCGCGUGUGUGAAGAAGGUCUUCGGAUUGUAAAGCACUUUAAGUUGGGAGGAAGGGUUGUAGAUUAAUACUCUGCAAUUUUGACGUUACCGACAGAAUAAGCACCGGCUAACUCUGUGCCAGCAGCCGCGGUAAUACAGAGGGUGCAAGCGUUAAUCGGAAUUACUGGGCGUAAAGCGCGCGUAGGUGGUUUGUUAAGUUGGAUGUGAAAUCCCCGGGCUCAACCUGGGAACUGCAUUCAANACUGAC